UCAAAGGAAUUGACGGGGGCUCACACAAGCGGUGGAGCAUGUGGCUUAAUUCGAGGCAACGCGAAGAACCUUACCCGGGUUUGACAUGCACGAAUUAGCCCCGUGAAAGCGGGGUGACGCGGCUUGCCGUGGAACGUGCACAGGUGCUGCAUGGCUGUCGUCAGCUCGUGUCGUGAGAUGUUAGGUUAAGUCCUUCAACGAGCGAAACCCUUGUCGUUAGUUGCCAGCGGGUCAUGCCGGGCACUUUAGCGAGACUGCCGGUGUAAGCCGGAGGAAGGUGGGGACGACGUCAAGUCCUCAUGGCCCUUAUGCCCGGGGUUGCACACGUGCUACAAUGGGAUGGUACAGAGCGAUGCAAGACCGCGAGGUGGAGCAAACCGCAAAAAACAUCCCUCAGUUCGGAUUGCAGUCUGCAACUCGACUGCAUGAAGUUGGAAUCGCUAGUAAUCGCGUAUCAGCUACGACGCGGUGAAUAUGUUCCUGAGCCUUGUACACACCGCCCGUCAAGUCAUGGAAGCUGGGAGUACCCGAAGUCCGCUUAGCUAACCGCAAGGAGGCGGCGGCCGACGGUAAGCCCGGUGACUGGGACUAAGUCGUAACAAGGUAGCCGUAGGGGAACCUGCGGCUGGAUCACCUCCUUU
RNAcentral lists this ribosomal RNA (641 nucleotides) under Gammaproteobacteria bacterium. RNAcentral describes it as "bacterial SSU rRNA". It matches the Rfam family "Bacterial small subunit ribosomal RNA", at positions 901 to 1533 of the family's 1533-position model. Lineage: Bacteria; Pseudomonadati; Pseudomonadota; Gammaproteobacteria. The record is from RNAcentral.